CCUACGGGAGGCAGCAGUGAAGAAUAUUUGUCAAUGGACGAGAGUCUGAACCAGCCAAGUAGCGUGAAGGAUGACUGCCCUAUGGGUUGUAAACUUCUUUUAUAUGGGAAUAAAUUGUUCCACGUGUGGGAUUUUGUAUGUACCAUAUGAAUAAGGAUCGGCUAACUCCGUGCCUGCAGCCGCGGUAAUCCGGAGGAUCCGAGCGUUAUCCGGAUUUAUUGGGUUUCAAGGGUGCGUGGGUGGAUUGUUAAGUCAGUUGUGAAAGUUUGCGGCUCAACCGUAAAAUUGCAGAUGAAACUGGCAGUCUUGAGUACAGUAGAGGUGGGCGGAAUUCGUGGUGUAGCGGUGAAAUGCUUAGAUAUCGAGAAGAACUCCGAUGGCGAAGGCAGCUCCCUGGACUGCAACUGACACUGAGGCUCGAAAGUGAGGGUAUCAAACAGGAUUAGAUACCCUUGUAGUC
This 460-nucleotide ribosomal RNA is filed under the name uncultured bacterium. RNAcentral describes it as "partial 16S ribosomal RNA". It matches the Rfam family "Bacterial small subunit ribosomal RNA", at positions 338 to 795 of the family's 1533-position model. The record is from RNAcentral.